AGAAUCAACGCUGGCGGCGUGCCUAACACAUGCAAGUCGAACGAGAAAGUGGGAGCAAUCCCACGAGUAAAGUGGCGCACGGGUGAGUAACACGUGACUAACCUACCCUUGAGUGGGGGAUAACCUAGGGAAACCUGGGCUAAUACCGCAUAAUACCUACGGGUCAAAGGAGCAAUUCGCUUUAGGAGGGGGUCGCGGCAGAUUAGUUAGUUGGCGGGGUAAUGGCCCACCAAGACAGUGAUCUGUAUCCGGCCUGAGAGGGCGCACGGACACACUGGAACUGAAACACGGUCCAGACUCCUACGGGAGGCAGCAGUGGGGAAUUUUGCGCAAUGGGGGAAACCCUGACGCAGCAACGCCGCGUGGAGGAUGAAGCCCCUUGGGGCGUAAACGUCCUUUCGAUCGGAAGAUAAUGACGGUACCGGAAGAAGAAGCCCGGCUAACUUCGUGCCAGCAGCCGC
RNAcentral lists this ribosomal RNA (461 nucleotides) under uncultured bacterium. Its description in RNAcentral is "SSU rRNA". It matches the Rfam family "Bacterial small subunit ribosomal RNA", at positions 26 to 518 of the family's 1533-position model. The record is from RNAcentral.